GGGGCUCGGGUUCGGCGCGCCCCUCACCGGGCCGCCGUCCCCGUCCCCGUCCCCGCCGGCCGCGCCAAACUCUAAAUUUGAAAAAGCGUACUGCACGUUCUGAUUCAAAACAAAAAACAAGUCAAAACUUUUAACAACGGAUCUCUUGGUUCUGGCAUCGAUGAAGAACGCAGCGAAAUGCGAUAAGUAAUGUGAAUUGCAGAAUUCAGUGAAUCAUCGAAUCUUUGAACGCACAUUGCGCCCGGCAGCAUUUUGCUGGUCAUGCCUGUCCGAGCGUCAUUUCUUCCCUCGAGCGCGGCUAGCCCUACGGGGCCUGCCGUCGCCCGGUGUUGGGGCUCUACGGGUGGGGCUCGUCCCCCCCGCAGUUCCCCGAAAUGUAGUGGCGGUCCAGCCGCGGCGCCCCCUGCGUAGUAGAUCCUACAUCUCGCAUCGGGUCCCGGCGAAGGCCAGCCGUCGAACCUUUUAUUUUUCAUGGUUUUGACCUCGGAUCAGGUAGGGUU
Molecule: small RNA, 500 nt
Filed under: Scopulariopsis brevicaulis (arsenic fungus)
Lineage: Eukaryota; Fungi; Ascomycota; Sordariomycetes; Microascales; Microascaceae
Description: eukaryotic LSU rRNA
Rfam family: 5.8S ribosomal RNA (bases 126-279)
Source: RNAcentral